UGUGCAGACACAAACAGAAAAUCUACAUAUAUUUAUUAUUAAGUUUUGUUUUUUGCAACCGAGAGAUUGAUAAAAGGAAAGAAGAUAAUUUGAAUAUAUUUAAAUCUAUAAUAUAUACUUUGUCCCAUUGUUGUUAAAGCCUCGUAAUUUUAUAGCAAUUUUCGGUGUAACAAUGAGAAGAAAAAAACCAGGAUGAAACGCCUUAAUUUCUUUCACUCACAAAGUUUAUUGUUAAAAUUAUUACUGAUAUUACAAUUGCAAAACUCGAGUACUAAUCAAUUAGUGUUGUCCUAAUGGGAUACCGAUUCGAUUAUAUAUAAAAAUCGACUUUAUUGAAGAAUGACUUUUAAUUGGUCCCCUUAAGCUUUGUACCUGAAGCUUUGCACGUUAAUAAUUACGGAACUACUUAGGUGUUUAUUGUCAAACGGUAAAUAAAUGGUUGGACGAGUAUAACUUACAUUUCCUAUUCAAGCAAUUUUGGAGUGCAGUUGGUGGAACGUUAAACUCGCGAUUUGUUAAUCUCUUGUUUACAUGUUUACAGUGGUAUUAAAACACAAAAAAAAACUGAGUAUAUAAUAUGGUCACAAUACUUGCUUAUAGAACUGAUAAGCAAAGAACAAUGGAUAUUGUGGAAGUGGUAUGUUAACAGUAGUGCCUGCAUUAAUACUAGAAGUGGCAG
This is a long non-coding RNA of Nymphalis io (European peacock), 679 nucleotides long. RefSeq lists it as uncharacterized. The transcript is spliced from 4 exons. NCBI's taxonomy places the organism in Eukaryota, Metazoa, Arthropoda, Insecta, Lepidoptera, Nymphalidae. The record is from RefSeq and is a predicted model, not a curated record.